UCGUAACCUCGCUGCGCCUCGCCCGACAGGCUCCUCCCUAUCUCCUGAGGGCAACCCAGAGGUGCGGCGCCAUGGCCCGCAGCGUGCCCGGGAGGGCGGCCCCAGCCCCGGUCUAGGCGCGGCUCAUCCGUACUUUCCGGGGGUUUCCUGAGCGCCCCCUGGGCCGCGGUCCUGCCUGGACGAGCGCAGGAAGGGAGAGCAGCCGGCAGGCUUGCGGCCCGGCUACCACCGUUCUACUUUCUGUCCCUGAACUGGACUGCUCUUAGGUAUCUCAUAUUUCCAUUUUGGACGUGUGAAUCCAAGGAGAAAUGACAUCUAAAUAGAUGGAUAUAUGAGUCUGAAACUCAGCAGAGGAGUGACAAGACUGGAGAUAAAGACUCCUCCUCUCAGCCUCGCCCACCCGGGGCGACGGGUCCCUCUCCAGUAUCCUUCUGUGCAGCCACGUGCUGCCAUCUCUCCAGCUGGCUUAUUAGUGGCAACCUAGUGAUCUUUCUUCAACAUCACUUGGAUGCUCAGCCCAUGGUCCUGUCUCCUCUGCACCAGUCUGUCCACCCGCUGCUUUCUUCCCUUCCCUCCUGAUCAUCUUCAAUCCCAUUUUGCUCCAUUCCGGUACUGUUCUUGCUGUUACCCUUAUAUUUUUGCUCCUCUGUCCUUGGCACACUUGUCUGGCAGAACCUCACCGCUGGGUGAACUGGAACACCUGCUCUCCACGCCUGCUGCUGGAGGAGUCGUCCAAGAGGGCUGAGGGCACUGCUGGGAAUUCAAAUGGGCCCUCAGUCCCGCCUGUUUCUCCUCCUUGUCAACUGUCCCUCCCAUUCUAUGCAAGGAUGUUUUCAAGCCUUAUCUACACUCAUCAGACUGCCUCUACACCCUUCACAAUAGCCUCACCUCUAAUUUUGGAGAACAUGGAGACCAUCAGGUGGAAACUAGGCUUCUCAUCGGUUGUACAGCCCAUCACAGCUGCCCUCUCUGCUCCUGUGACCCUCCUGCUAGGAUAGGAAACAGUCAGUCCUGCCCAAGGCUAAAGCCAGCACCUCCUUGAAUCCCAUCUCUCAUCUUAUCAGAGAACUUAACAGUAUUGAUUAUCCCCUCUCUCUCUUGUAAGUCCUGGCUGCUGGAAAUAGCCUUUCAGUGUGCUCAUGUCUUCCAUCUUAAAAACAAAACCAAAACUGAACUAAAGAUGAACACAAAGAACUUUCCUGAAACAUCCCUCUUUGGCUGUCACUCCCUUCCUCUCCAUCACAGCAGAUGGGCAUCAUCUUUCACAUGGUCCCCUCCCUCACCCUGCAUGCCCAAACAAGGACAGGCCAUCAGUUGAAGACAGAAGCUUGGAGGCUCCCAAGAGAACUCAAGUGCUAUGGGUUAAAUGUGUCCCCCAAAGGUUCAUAUAUUGGAAACUUAAUCUACAUUGUAACAGUGUUAAGAGGAUGGGAAAUCCAAUUAUGGUACUUGAAAGGUGGGGCUGUAAAGAGGUGAUUAGAUUGUGAGGACUGUAUCCUGGUGAAUGGAUUGAUCCAUUCAUGGAGUAAUAAGUUGGUAGUUUAAUGGAUGGUCAUGGGCAUGGUCCUGAGGGCUUUAUAAAGACAGUGAGUGAGCAGGUCAGCUCUCUCUUGCUCCACCCAGUUGCCAUGUGAUACCCUGCGUUGCUGUGUGCAGUCACCACCAAAGAAGAAGGCCCUCACCAGAUAUGUUCUCUGGACUUUGAUCUUCCC
This is a long non-coding RNA of Cynocephalus volans (Philippine flying lemur), 1712 nucleotides long. RefSeq lists it as uncharacterized. NCBI's taxonomy places the organism in Eukaryota, Metazoa, Chordata, Mammalia, Dermoptera, Cynocephalidae. The transcript is spliced from 3 exons. The record is from RefSeq and is a predicted model, not a curated record.